AUUGAACGCUAGCGGGAUGCUUUACACAUGCAAGUCGAACGAGUGGCGGACGGGUGAGUAAUAUAUCGGAACGUGCCCAGUAGCGGGGGAUAACUACUGGAAAGAGUGGCUAAUACCGCAUCCAAUUGGAGCGGCCGAUAUCGGAUUAGCUAGUUGGUGGGGUAAAGGCUCACCAGGGCAACGAUCCGUAGCUGGUUUGAGAGGACGACCAGCCACACGGGGACGGAGACACGGCCCAGACUCCGACGGGAGGCAGCAGUGGGGAAUUGUGGACAAUGGGGGAAACCCUGAUCCAGCCAUCCCGCGUGUAUGAGAAGGCCUUCGGGUUGUAAAGUACUUUUGGCAGAGAGGCGGUAUCUGCAGAAUAAGCACCGGCUAACUACGUGCCAGCAGCCGCGGUAAUUC
This 405-nucleotide ribosomal RNA is filed under the name uncultured bacterium. RNAcentral's name for it is "partial 16S ribosomal RNA". It matches the Rfam family "Bacterial small subunit ribosomal RNA", at positions 30 to 526 of the family's 1533-position model. The record is from RNAcentral.